This 194-nucleotide ribosomal RNA is filed under the name uncultured bacterium. RNAcentral's name for it is "partial 16S ribosomal RNA". It matches the Rfam family "Bacterial small subunit ribosomal RNA", at positions 335 to 526 of the family's 1533-position model. The record is from RNAcentral.
ACUCCUACGGGAGGCAGCAGUGAGGAAUAUUGCGCAAUGGAGGAAACUCUGACGCAGCCACGCCGCGUGCAGGAAGAAGGUCCUAUGGAUUGUAAACUGCUUUUAUUCGGAAAGAACAAACGGGUUUCGACCUGUUCUGACGGUACCGAUUGAAUAAGCACCGGCUAACUCCGUGCCAGCAGCCGCGGUAAUAC